This 466-nucleotide ribosomal RNA is filed under the name uncultured bacterium. RNAcentral's name for it is "partial 16S ribosomal RNA". It matches the Rfam family "Bacterial small subunit ribosomal RNA", at positions 28 to 507 of the family's 1533-position model. The record is from RNAcentral.
GACGAACGCUGGCGGCGUGCUUAACACAUGCGAGUCGAACGGAAAGGCCCUGCUUGCCGGGUACUCGAGUGGCGAACGGGUGAGUAACACGUGGGUGAUCUGCCCUGCACUUCGGGAUAAGCUUGGGAAACUGGGUCUAAUACCGGAUAGGAGCCAUCUUUAGUGUGGUGGUUGGAAAGUUUUUUCGGUGUAGGAUGAGCUCGCGGCCUAUCAGCUUGUUGGUGGGGUAAUGGCCUACCAAGGCGGCGACGGGUAGCCGGCCUGAGAGGGUGUACGGCCACAUUGGGACGGAGAUACGGCCCAGACUCCUACGGGAGGCAGCAGUGGGGAAUAUUGCACAAUGGGCGCAAGCCUGAUGCAGCGACGCCGCGUGGGGGAUGAAGGCCUUCGGGUUGUAAACUCCUUUCGCUAGGGACGAAGCUUUUUUGUGACGGUACCUAGAGAAGAAGCACCGGCUAACUACGUG